This is a small nucleolar RNA of Manis pentadactyla (Chinese pangolin), 75 nucleotides long. RefSeq annotates it as small nucleolar RNA SNORD113/SNORD114 family. The record is from RefSeq and is a predicted model, not a curated record. The transcript has a single exon. Lineage: Eukaryota; Metazoa; Chordata; Mammalia; Pholidota; Manidae.
UGGACCGAUGAUGAUGACUGGUGGCGUUUGACUCAUGGAUGAUAAAUUCUAUGUGUCUGAAACUCUGAGGUCCCA